GAUGAACGCUGGCGGCGUGCUUAACACAUGCAAGUCGAACGGAAAGGCCAUUGCUUGCACUGGUACUCGAGUGGCGAACGGGUGAGUAACACGUGGGUGAUCUGCCCUGUACUUUGGGAUAAGCUUGGGAAACUGGGUCUAAUACCGGAUAGGACAACUUUUUGGAUAUUGUUGUGGAAAGCUUUUGCGGUAUGGGAUGAGCUCGCGGCCUAUCAGCUUGUUGGUGGGGUAAUGGCCUACCAAGGCGUCGACGGGUAGCCGGCCUGAGAGGGUGUACGGCCACAUUGGGACUGAGAUACGGCCCAGACUCCUACGGGAGGCAGCAGUGGGGAAUAUUGCACAAUGGGCGCAAGCCUGAUGCAGCGACGCCGCGUGGGGGAUGAAGGCCUUCGGGUUGUAAACUCCUUUCGCUAGGGACGAAGCGGAAGUGACGGUACCUGGAGAAGAAGCACCGGCUAACUACGUG
This 466-nucleotide ribosomal RNA is filed under the name uncultured bacterium. RNAcentral's name for it is "partial 16S ribosomal RNA". It matches the Rfam family "Bacterial small subunit ribosomal RNA", at positions 28 to 507 of the family's 1533-position model. The record is from RNAcentral.